GGUCAACACAGAAGCUAUGGCCAACUUCAAAACCAGCUCACGCUCCCAAGUAUGAGCCACUUGCACGACUGGCUCUAUGUGGUCACGGCACAGCCAGCAAAGACUGCCGUGGUGAAUUUACCCUUCCUGGCAUGUGAGGAGAGGGCUCACGCUGUGAGGUGACAUGUGCAUGCAUUCCUGUCACCUGUGCCACUUACUAGUCAUUUAAGCUCAUUAUCUCUCUGAAGUUCGGUGCCCUCAACUCAAAAACGAGGGUCCCAGCAUCGAGGACUGAAAGUGAAAUCUGCACCGAGUGGUCAACAGAGUCCCCGUCACAUGGAGAGGGCUCAGUAAGCGUGAGCUGCCGACAGAACCACAGCCACGAAGUGUGAGCCUGAUCGGCCCCACCCGGACCUCGGAAACGGCACAGGUCUGUGAGGCAAAAUCACUGCUCUGCAGAGAUCGUAUGUGUGCAAAGAGUUUUCUUCUUCAGACGCACUGUGUUUUGUGCCGUUAAGAUACAACACGAUGCCCCAGCGUGCCGAGCCUCAGGAGGUCUGCUCCGUCCUGGUGACUCCAGCACCGCACGAAUCACACGGCUACGCAAACGGCCUUGGAAAGAGAUCAGAUCUUCCCAUUCUGACACGUACACACAACCUGUAAAUCUUGUAUUCUGAGUCGGCCCGAACAUAAGGGUUGCAGGUAGAAAUCUGAUACUCUGCGGCUCCGAGGUAAAGAGUACCCAUAUGUACCCAACACGAGGAACACGCAACCGCAGGACUGGAUCUACAUUAGACGUGCGGAGGACGAAGCUGGCAUCCAGAACCUGAAGCCACCUCUUCCCUUUGUUGUCUUGCUUCUGUUGUUCGGGGGUCUCCCCCAGAAUCUAGAACUUCACGCACCUAGACGCUUCAAAGAAGAACCACGCUUUUGGGCCACAGUCCAGGGAAAAAUACCAGUCCAAACUUCCUGAAAGCACAAAGCUGCCUCCUGCUGUGUACGUGUAGGAGAGGCUGAGACAAAACCCUCCCCUGCCGCACCCUCUGCAGACGGACCCGGGCUGUGUUCAGGACUCACAAGAGCAAAGGAUGAAACGGAGUCUUACAGUUUGGGAACAUUAACUGGUGACGUUGGAGGCUCACCCAAGAAAAGAGCUCCGACCUUAGAGCCCUGAAGACACGUAGCCCUUGGAGUUCACGUGGAAUUCGGCAGGAGUUGACCCAGGUCGUGUCCGUUGGCAAGGCUGAGAGAUUAGUCUGUGUGGAGGCACACAGAUGCCCGGACACAGUGCGGACUCCAGAGUAGAGCGCCAGACCCCGUAGUCCCAGGAAGGCACGCGUUUUCAGCAAAACUUUAAAUCUGCAACAGAGGGGACUUUAAACCAUGCUGCUAAAUAUCACUGGAAAAUGUACUAUGAGGUCUAAGUUAACAGAUCUCUAGCAGACUCUCCUGUGCUUGUGUCUGAUGCAUUUGCCCCGCAUCCAAUCAUACCUUCCUGUUAAAGCUCUGACGCUUUGCUUCUAGUGGUAGGAUUGAAGACGGGACAUAAAUUGUGCCACCUACCAUCAAAACAGAUUUUUGCAAAACCGAGGCUGAAUAAAGAUUUUAAACUCUGUACUCCAAGUGAAUUUCACGUCUUGAUUCCAUUCAAGCAAUUAUCGAGGAUCCAUUAGGCACGAUGGCUUAUUGACAGGAAUACGAACGCAGUGUUUGUAGCCCAAGCAGGCGGAGAAGGAAGAACGCGGAGGUAGAACACGGAGUUGGUGUCAGCAGCUUUCUUUCCACUCUGCCUUCUGGACAACCCCAUGUUUCCCUGAUGCCCCCAAGGAGCCCUUCCCUCCCUGAUGCCCUCCAAUGAAUGGACAAUGCAAGCGAUGGCCCCGUGACGUGGCCUGGUGGCCAGCAGCUGUUGGGAAACACCACCAGGAGGAUCAUUCCCUAUGAGACGAAGAGACAUGCUACCAUACAACAGGGGAAAACCGGGGGUGACGGGAGCCCGCUCCGAGCCCAGACGGAAGUGAAGAGGACGGCUUCGUGGGGAAGGGGGUAUUUCCACCAUCUCUGCAGGAGGGGCUGGCUGGCGCACUGACAGGUGCUCUGCAAACCCUUGCUGAGCUUUUACUGUGUGGUUCGUAACAAAGACGGACAUAAAUCCUGCUCCUUGCCUUUAUGCCUUCCACCCCACGAUCGCACACCCCCCAAAAUGAAUUCUACAUUUACGAUCCUAUCAGAGGCCACCAAUGGUUCACGUCCCAAGGUCAACAAUAGAAGGAGGAAGAGGCAGUAAAACUUAACGGGGCCCCAAUUUACUCACUUUCUGGGUGGUCACAGGUAUGUUGCUUAAACUGGAUAUCAGUUUUUAAUGGGCAUCCUAAGCCCUCAAAAUCUGGGGUUCGAAUUCAUGUCAGAACCUAAACACGACCACAGAGGAAUUCACGGUGGUAUCUGAAAACACUCUCCCCAACCAGAAAGUUCUAUGUAAGUUUUCAACUCCUCCUCGUACAGGGUACAUGUCAUAAGAACUACAUACUUUUUUUCCCUUUUGUAAAUGAUUCUUAAAUGCAUAAGCAAUAAAACAUUUUUAAAACACAAUUUAAAGAGUACACUUGGCAGACUAGAACGCCUUAAAAAAGCCUAUUUACUUUCUCCCCUAAACGUUCAAAUUGUUAAAAGGAAAACUGUAUUUUAUCAACACUUUAACAUACCAUUAAAAUCUCUCCUAUUUGACAGAUGAAGAUAAAAACACCCCAAAACUACGGAUGAAUUAUCAGGUCCCUAAUGAUUCCAAAACAAUUACAGGAUGCAGAGCAAUCUAGUUAAAUUUUAUUCAAAAGCUUACUACACUUGUGUUUUCUUUUAUUUUUCUAUCAAGAAACCCAUGAGGCUUAAGCACAAUUCAUUAUGUAUGAGACCCCACUUGCGGUGCUUGACUGUUGAUUAAUAGCAAAGUUUGCUGUAUGUACAUUUGCAACAUUAGAUGCAUACAAUAUGCUAACUUAUUCUUUCACUGAAACUAAUUAUUUACAAAAAUGACUACUUGAGACUACAAUUUAUUAAAUGCAUGCAUCCAGUCUCAAUUUGGCCCCAAAAGACAGCCUGGAAUGAAGAUCUUUUACUUGAUGUGACAACUUCUGGAAACGCUGUUAUUAAUAUUGUAAA
Molecule: long non-coding RNA, 3138 nt
Organism: Panthera uncia (snow leopard)
Lineage: Eukaryota; Metazoa; Chordata; Mammalia; Carnivora; Felidae
Exons: 8
Source: RefSeq, a predicted model, not a curated record